UACGGGGGGGGCAAGCGUUGUUCGGAAUUACUGGGCGUAAAGGGCUCGUAGGCGGCCAACUAAGUCAGACGUGAAAUCCCUCGGCUUAACCGGGGAACUGCGUCUGAUACUGGAUGGCUUGAGGUUGGGAGAGGGAUGCGGAAUUCCAGGUGUAGCGGUGAAAUGCGUAGAUAUCUGGAGGAACACCUAUGGCGAAGGCAGCUCUCUGGGACGGUACUGACGCUGAGACGCGAAAGCGUGGGGAGCGAACAGG
Molecule: ribosomal RNA, 253 nt
Filed under: uncultured bacterium
Lineage: Bacteria
Description: partial 16S ribosomal RNA
Rfam family: Bacterial small subunit ribosomal RNA
Source: RNAcentral